Molecule: ribosomal RNA, 301 nt
Filed under: uncultured bacterium
Lineage: Bacteria
Description: partial 16S ribosomal RNA
Rfam family: Bacterial small subunit ribosomal RNA
Source: RNAcentral
CAGCAGCCACGGUAAUACAGAGGAUGCAAGCGUUAUCCGGAAUGAUUGGGCGUAAAGGGCUCGCAGGCGGUUUCUUAAGUCUGAUGUGAAAGCCCCCGGCUCAACCGGGGAGGGUCAUUGGAAACUGGGAAACUUGAGUGCAGAAGAGGAGAGUGGAAUUCCACGUGUAGCGGUGAAAUGCGUAGAGAUGUGGAGGAACACCAGUGGCGAAGGCGGCUCUCUGGUCUGUAACUGACGCUGAGGAGCGAAAGCGUGGGGAGCGAACAGGAUUAGAUACCCCAGUAGUCCCUGUCUCUUAUAA